RNAcentral lists this ribosomal RNA (426 nucleotides) under uncultured bacterium. Its description in RNAcentral is "partial 16S ribosomal RNA". It matches the Rfam family "Bacterial small subunit ribosomal RNA", at positions 354 to 796 of the family's 1533-position model. The record is from RNAcentral.
GUGAGAAAUUUUCCGCAAUGGGCGAAAGCCUGACGGAGCAAUGCCGCGUGAAGGAUGAAGGCCUAUGGGUUGUAAACUUCUUUUCUCAGAAAAGAAUUAUGACGGUAUCUGAGGAAUAAGCAUCGGCUAACUCUGUGCCAGCAGCCGCGGUAAGACAGAGGAUGCAAGCGUUAUCCGGAAUGAUUGGGCGUAAAGCGUCUGUAGGUUGUUUAAAAAGUAUUCUGUCAAAGAUUAGGGCUUAACCCUAGAUAGGCAGAAUAAACUUUUAAGCUAGAGUUUGGUAGAGGCAGAGGGAAUUCCCGGUGGAGCGGUGAAAUGCGUAGAUAUCGGGAGGAACACCAAAGGCGAAGGCACUCUGCUGGGCCAAUACUAACACUGAGAGACGAAAGCGAGGGGAGCAAAUGGGAUUAGAUACCCGAGUAGUCC